RNAcentral lists this ribosomal RNA (484 nucleotides) under uncultured bacterium. RNAcentral describes it as "partial 16S ribosomal RNA". It matches the Rfam family "Bacterial small subunit ribosomal RNA", at positions 30 to 507 of the family's 1533-position model. The record is from RNAcentral.
AUUGAACGCUGGCGGCAGGCCUAACACAUGCAAGUCGAGCGGAUGACGGGAGCUUGCUCCUUGAUUCAGCGGCGGACGGGUGAGUAAUGCCUAGGAAUCUGCCUGGUAGUGGGGGACAACGUUUCGAAAGGAACGCUAAUACCGCAUACGUCCUACGGGAGAAAGCAGGGGACCUUCGGGCCUUGCGCUAUCAGAUGAGCCUAGGUCGGAUUAGCUUGUUGGUGAGGUAAUGGCUCACCAAGGCGACGAUCCGUAACUGGUCUGAGAGGAUGAUCAGUCACACUGGAACUGAGACACGGUCCAGACUCCUACGGGAGGCAGCAGUGGGGAAUAUUGGACAAUGGGCGAAAGCCUGAUCCAGCCAUGCCGCGUGUGUGAAGAAGGUCUUCGGAUUGUAAAGCACUUUAAGCUGGGAGGAAGGGUUGUAGAUUAAUACUCUGCAAUUUUGACGUUACCGACAGAAUAAGCACCGGCUAACUCUGUG